AUCCCUUUGGCAGCACAUAUACUAAAAUCAGAACAAUACAGAGAAGAUUAGCAUGGCCCCUGGGCAAGGACGCCAUGCAAAUUUGUGAAGUAUUCCUUUUUUUU
Molecule: small nuclear RNA, 104 nt
Organism: Phacochoerus africanus (Common warthog)
Lineage: Eukaryota; Metazoa; Chordata; Mammalia; Artiodactyla; Suidae
Source: RefSeq, a predicted model, not a curated record